AUUGAACGCUGGCGGCAGGCCUAACACAUGCAAGUCGAGAGGAGCGGCGGACGGGUGAGUAAUGCCUAGGAAUCUGCCUGGUAGUGGGGGAUAACGUCCGGAAACGGGCGCUAAUACCGCAUGCUAUCAGAUUCGCCUAGGUCGGAUUGGCUAGGUGGUGGGGUACAGGCCUACAAAGGCGACGAUCCGUAACUGGUCUGAGAGGAUGAUGAGUCACACGGGAACUGAGACACGGUCCAGACUCCUACGGGAGGCAGUAGUGGGGAAUAUUGGACAAUGGCCGAAAGCCUGCUCAAGCCAUGCCGCGUGUGUGAAGAAGUUCUACGGAUUGUAAAGCACUUUAAGUUGGGAGGCGUUACCAUCUGAAUCAGACCCGGCUAACUUCGUGCCAGCAGCCGCGGUAAUUC
This 407-nucleotide ribosomal RNA is filed under the name uncultured bacterium. Its description in RNAcentral is "partial 16S ribosomal RNA". It matches the Rfam family "Bacterial small subunit ribosomal RNA", at positions 30 to 526 of the family's 1533-position model. The record is from RNAcentral.